CUAUCACUUGAUCUUUGGGAGUGAGGGCAUGGGUGCUAAGGUCCAUGUCCGAAAGAGGAACAACUCAGACCACCAGCUAAGGUCCCGAAAUAAGGGCUAAGUUGAAUAAACGAAGUAAAACUGCAAAGACAGCUAGGAUGUUGGCUUGGAAGCAGCCAUUCAUUUAAAGAGUGCGUAACAGCUCACUAGUCGAGGAGUUUUGCAUGGAUAAUAAUCGGGCAUAAGCCCUUUACCGAAGCUGUGGAUGUCGUAAGACAUGGUAGGGGAGCAUUCCGGCGGCGACGAAGGCCGUCCUCGAGGACGACUGGAGCUUUCGGAAAAGCAAAUGUAGGUAUAAGUAACGAUAAAGGGGGCGUGAAACCCCCUCGCCAUAAGACUAAGGAUUCCUGAUCAACGCUAAUCGGAUCAGGGUAAGUCGGGCCCUAAGGCGCAGCCGAACGGCGUAGCCGAUGGAAGAAACGGUAAAGAUUCCGUUACUGGAUAUAGGAGCGAUGUGGAGACGGAGAAGUGACACACCCGCCUGCCGACGGAAGCGCAGGUUAAAGGAAGUAGGUAAACGCCGGGUAGGCAAAUCCGCCUGGCGUGCCGAAACUGACAGUAUCGAGAGCCCCCGGGCAAUCGAAUAGCGGUGGUAAUCAGGCUCCCAAGAAAAUCCGCUAAGCAUAUUCUAUAUCCACCCGUACCCCAAACGGACACACGUAGUCGGGUAGAAUAUACCAAGGCGCUCGAAAGACUCACGGUUAAGGAACUAGGCAAAUUGACCCUGUAACCUCGGGAAAAAGGGUCCCCAGUAAGAUGGGGCGCAGAGAAUAGGUCCAGGCAACUGUUUAACAAAAACACAGGGCUGUGCGAAAUUUCAAGAUGAAGUAUACAGCCUGACACCUGCCCGGUGCCGGAAGGUUAAGAGGAGAGCUAAUCGCAAGAGAAGGCUUGAAUUGAAGCCCCGGUAAACGGCGGCCGUAACUAUAACGGUCCUAAGGUAGCGAAAUUCCUUGUCGGGUAAGUUCCGACCUGCACGAAUGGUGUAAUGAUCUGGACACUGUCUCAACCGUGACUUCGGUGAAAUUGUAGUAUCGGUGAAGAUGCCGAUUACCCGCAACGGGACGAAAAGACCCCGUGAACCUUUACUGCAACUUAGCAUUGCGUUUGGGCAUUUGAUGUGUAGGAUAGUCCGGAGGCUACGAGUCGGCGACGCCAGUCUUCGAGGAGCCGCUGUUGAAAUACGGACCUUCGAAUGUUUGAGCGCUAACUCGCAGGAGCGAGGACACUGUUUGGUGGGUAGUUUGACUGGGG
RNAcentral lists this ribosomal RNA (1293 nucleotides) under human gut metagenome. RNAcentral's name for it is "bacterial LSU rRNA". It matches the Rfam family "Bacterial large subunit ribosomal RNA", at positions 963 to 2279 of the family's 2925-position model. The record is from RNAcentral.